AGCUCAGCACGGCAAGAUCAGUAGCCUAUUCCCAAGCUGACAGCGCGGGUUCGAUUCCCGUCACCCGCUCCA
Molecule: transfer RNA, 72 nt
Filed under: Microbispora rosea subsp. rosea
Lineage: Bacteria; Bacillati; Actinomycetota; Actinomycetes; Streptosporangiales; Streptosporangiaceae
Description: tRNA-OTHER
Source: RNAcentral